Molecule: unclassified non-coding RNA, 313 nt
Filed under: uncultured fungus
Lineage: Eukaryota; Fungi
Description: partial contains 5.8S ribosomal RNA, internal transcribed spacer 2, and large subunit ribosomal RNA
Source: RNAcentral
AACGCACAUUGCGCCCUUUGGUAUUCCGAGGGGCAUGCCUGUUCGAGCGUCAUUGCAAAACCUCUCAAGCUUUCUCUUGCUUGGUGUGUUGGGUCUUCGUCCUUCUCCCCCCCCUUCUCCCUGCUGCUUGCUCAAGUGGAGUGGAGGGGAACCCGGACGUACCUGAAAAUCAGUGGCGGUGCCAUGAUAGCCUCAAGCGUAGCGGGCUCCCUCUCGCUUUGGAUGGCCUUGUCAUGCAGCUUGCCGGCCUUUGCAUGUUUGCCUUAUCAAGGUGUUUGACCUCGGAUCAGGUAGGGAUACCCGCUGAACUUAA